This 260-nucleotide ribosomal RNA is filed under the name Escherichia coli. RNAcentral describes it as "partial 23S ribosomal RNA". It matches the Rfam family "Bacterial large subunit ribosomal RNA", at positions 1 to 252 of the family's 2925-position model. The record is from RNAcentral. Lineage: Bacteria; Pseudomonadati; Pseudomonadota; Gammaproteobacteria; Enterobacterales; Enterobacteriaceae.
GGGUUGUGAGGUUAAGCGACUAAGCGUACACGGUGGAUGCCCUGGCAGUCAGAGGCGAUGAAGGACGUGCUAAUCUGCGAUAAGCGUCGGUAAGGUGAUAUGAACCGUUAUAACCGGCGAUUUCCGAAUGGGGAAACCCAGUGUGAUUCGUCACACUAUCAUUAACUGAAUCCAUAGGUUAAUGAGGCGAACCGGGGGAACUGAAACAUCUAAGUACCCCGAGGAAAAGAAAUCAACCGAGAUUCCCCCAGUAGCGGCGA